UUGAAAAGGCAAUGAGCAAUGUUUUGGAUUGGAGUGAUUUGAUGGUUGUAAGAAUGCUGAGAAGAUAAUUAAACUUUGUAAGCAAAUAUCAUUCAUUAUGGCAAAUCCAAGGAAGUUUAGUGAAAAAAUAGCGCUUCACAAUCAAAAACAAGCAGAGGAGACCGCUGCUUUUGAGCAAGUGAUGCGUGAAGUGAUGGGAGCUACGAGGAAUGCUCAACCACAGUAUCUACACCUCAGUCCUACUCUUGGCUCUUACAGAGGUGGGUCUCUUCCAAAUGUUAACCAGAUUGGAAACAACAGCAUUGAUCUUCAGAGUGCUCUCACCAAUCUUGAGGACAUGAAGCAAGGAAAAGAUCAUGCUGUAUCUGAUAGAAUACACAGAGAGCGAGGCCGGCAGAUAUCUCCUCAUCGGUCAAGGCAGUUUCCUUUUGAGAAGCAUAUUGAUGUUUCCCCUUAUGGAUCAACUGCUUAUCUCUCUCCUCCUCCAGACACUAAUUGGAGAAGAACAAACUCAGAUUCUGCAUUACACCAAAGUGCAAUGAAUCCACAAGAAAACAUUUAUGGAGUUAAUUCCUCACCUGUAAGACGAGUUCAUGACAUGGACAGUGGUAUGAUGCAUGAUACAUACAACAAUCACGUGAAGGAAUACUGGGACCCCAGAAAGCAACCACAAGAACCUCGUCAAGUAGGUUUAUCUCCACCGUCACCUCACGCACGUCCCAAAUCAUGUGAAGUUCCUGAUAUCAACAUUUAUCCUUCACAAGAAGAAAGCAAUUUAAUUCAUGUACCAAUUUCCAACAACACUGGCUCCUUGCCAGAUUUAACCAAUCUCCACUUUCCCUCACCUUUGGCCACACCACUGGAUGUAGAAGAUCAGUCAGGUUUGGUCUACAGCCAACACAGUCCUUCUCAAUCUAAUGUAGUUACUUACUCUCAUCUGUCUUCUCUAUCGCCUCAACAGCAUCAUACACAUGGUAUUGGUCCAAAUGUUAGUGGUGGUACUCUUAUCCAGCCCACAGCAGGUGUGGGUGGUGGAGGAGGAAGUCGUCACAACAGCCCAGGACCUUCCCCUUCUCCAUCCUCAAGACGCCGACAUCAUCACAACUCCAACAACUUGGUGAUUGGAAGCAGUAGCCUGCGACACCAUGGCCUCCAUUCUUCACAACAGCAAGUACGUUACACUCCCCCAAGACAUGAACCACCCCGAAUUACAGUAGAGGGCUUGACUAUCGACACAAACGCUCUCUCAUUAAACAACUAUCUGCCUCAGCAGCAAACAUUUGGUAUGUAUCCGCAGCAGCAACCUAAUCAGAGUCCACACCAUAAUUAUGGACAGAGUCAAGCACUUUCACAGAUGCCAGUGGGACCAUACCAUAACAACAGCAUAGCUGACCACUCGUCUAGUGUUCCUAAUUCACCUGUGUCUCAGAGUUUUUCCCCCAUCAAUUCUCCGGGCCUUGGACCUAGCUCAUCUUUGAAUAAGAGUCCAUUCACAGAAAAUAAUAACUAUUUGUUUCACCACCACCACCAGCAGAACCACCAUGCAAAUAUUCUACAGCAUCAGUUGGAACAGUACGAUGUUGUAGGUGAAAGUUUUGAACAACCUGACCAGUUUGUUAUGCAGUUGCCAAACAGAAGUAAUACAACAUCCAAUAAGGACGUAUCAUCACCUAAUGUUUCCAAUAUAUACCACACAAAUUUUGAUUCUGUAGAUGGGUCAGGAUCACAGGUAGCUGUGGAUGUGGGUAUGGGUGAAAGAAAUCGGUUUCACUAUGCUGACCUCCAAGGUGAAGGCCUGCCCAGACCCCAGGACAGUGUAGAUACCAACAUGAUGUAUUAUGGGAUAUCUUCCACGGGAUCGGAUCCUCAUCAGCAUUCUCCAACAUUGUACUCUAAAUCUACGGUCAUCUCCUCCGUUCAUCAGUCUUCGCCCCAGACCCCUCAAACACCAACCAUUAUUCUCACAACCCCUGGAGGAGAGGAGCCCCUGAUGAGGCAGGACUUUGCCAAAGACAUUGGUUCUGCUAUGGCCAGCAUGACUGGCUCCUUUGACACAGACUUUUUCACUCCCGAUGAUGCAUUACGUGCUGGUCUGGAUCCCAUUGACUUUGAUGGAUUGCAGAUCCUUACAGAUCCCGAUAUUUCUGUAAUAAGUGAUCCAGCUACUGAGGAGACUUUUAGGCUUGAGCACUCGUAGCAGUUUCUGCCAUCCAUGUGAAGGUUUGUAACCAUGCCCCUUGACACAGUCAAGCCUAACAGAUGUGUGGGGCUUUAACAGCUUAAUCAAUCAGUCCUUUUUUACCCUCUUCAGGAAUGUAAACAUAACUGUACUUCACUUUACCUUGUGAGUCGAAAAGUAGGGAGUGUUUGCCAUUGGCCAUUUUGCCACAUUUCCAUUUGAACUAUUUAUUUGUUUUUGUAUAAAAUGGAAUGGAUUAUUUUUAAAAAUAAGAAAAUGUUUGUUCUUGUGAAAAGAAUUCAUUGUUUGAAGAGCCUAGUAACAGUUUGUAAGUCCUUCUGAAUUUAGUGCUUGUAUUUUUAAAAGCUUUGUUUUUAAGACAAGUUAUCAUGCCUUAAGUGCGUGACUGAUACUUUUAGUGUACAUAGCUGUAAAUUGUCAUUUUUUUAGUGUUUAUCUCUUUAAAUUUUAGUAUGGCUAACAAAGCACAGUAUUAAAGAUACUAAAAGAUGCACAUAAGACUGGCAUUUAUUGUAUAAAGGAAAAUAUUAUUAAAAUCAACUGUAAAGAUGAUGUAAGAUCUGUUUAAAUUCACUUCUAUUUUUUUUUUUGAGAGGUAAAUCUCAGUCGUUUUCAGCAUGCAUUUUUCUUGGAAUUUUGUGUUGUGUUAAAUCUUUAAAAAUAGUGUUGUCAGUACGUGACUUUUAGCGUAAUUGUUCUGAUAAUAAUUGAAUAUUUUUUUCCUCUGGUUAUUUUUAGAAUCAGCUUGCUUGUUUUCAAUCUAUCUGUCAAGGAUAGCCUAAAGUUACUUUGAAAGAGCUGAAUGGAGCGAAAUAAGCAUUUUUUGAUGUGCUAAUAUGUAUGAUGGAAAUAGGAUUUUUCCUACAUGUGGGUGGUUAGUAGGUUUGGUUUCAUUCUGUCUCAGUCAGUGAGUAAAAGAGGAUGGCUCGAUUUGACAUAACCAUUUUUUUUAGGGUGGGGGAUCUCUUAUUAUUCAUAAGUAACUUUUUUUUCUUCAAUAUUUGAAAUUGAGUCUAAUCAUAUCACUCGGCUCUUACCACUGGUCAACAUAUAAAGUUAUAUUUCAAGGCUUUUAGUUGAGAAGUUUUUACAAAUAUAUAUUUUGCAUGUGAUCUGUGAAGCCACUUGAUUCCCUGUGAUCUGAUCGUUAAUUUGUAUAGCUGUGUACUUAAUACAUGGCUACUUGUAACAAUUGAUUCAUGUUUGGGACUUAAGAGUAGUGCACAGUUUUUGUUUUGUAGUCUUAUCAAAAUUUAGCAAAAGCAAUUAAUUGCAUCAAAAGCCAAAUGCAGCAAUGUUUGAAUGUUAAUUUAAAAAAAUAAGAAUUGUAGUUGCCUUUCAAUUCAGGGGAACUUUCUAGAAGAUGAUUUUUUUUAAACUGCAAGUUGUAAAAUGUUCUAGUAAGAUAAUUAAUUAAAUUUUUAAUAAUAAAAUAUUUUGUGUAAAAUACACUUAAAUUAUGACUGGGUACCAAAUUAUGUUUUUGAGCACACGUAGGAAGGAAGUUAAGUAAUGCCCGUUGAUUGUAUAUUUCUUAUAGUCUAAUUGACUUUGUCUUGGGAAUAUUUUUUGGGGGUUUCUUCAGAAUACCUCAAAAAUAACUAUUUGCUGUUUUAUAUUCAAUCUUUAAAUAAAACCUCUUAAAAUAUUAUAUUAACUCCUUUUAUAUCUUUUUAACUCUUGAUAUGCUGAGUAAAAUCUUGACCAGUUAAAAUAUUUUUUGAAAGUAUGUCAAAUUUACAAAUUCAAUUGUCAUUUGUCAAUGUACAGUCUUGUGAUAUAUUCACUUCAUUUUCUAUUGGAUAAAGUGUAAUAUUUUGCUUUCUUAUCGGUAGAUAGUAAAGAAAAAAAAAAGUUAAAUGUAUCAUAUUCAAUUUUCUCUCUAUAUUUUUUCUCUCAUCUAAUCUUUGCCUUAAAUGUUAAGGUACAAUCUCCACAUUGCUAUCGAACCACACAUGAUAUGUUUGACGUAAAUAUUAGUCACUCUUAAAGCCAAAAUAAUCUUCAUCCAUAUUCUACUGAUUUCCAACAUAGCCUAAUAUACCAGUUGAAUCACAAGCUCAAGGAACUGUGUUUUAUUAAUGAAAAUGUAUAGAGACUGUUUAGCUUCGUAAGCUCUGUAUGUGUAGAUAAUUUUGCAUUAAUGGAUUUUUCAAAUUCAUGUUUUUAGUAUGUACAUUAUGAACUAUAACAACGCUGUGUGUUAUGACCCAAUAUAAAUAUUUAUCUAAUGUGAUUUAAACUUUCAUGAAGUUUUUUUUAGUUAUCCUAAACAUCUUUCUUUCUUUCUACAAAAGGAAAAGAGCUUUUUAAAUCCUGUGUAUUAACUUUAACUUUUUUUUAUUUACAAUGAAAUUUUCUUCAUCUUAAAGCUAAAAGAUAAAUAUUUAAAAAUUAAAUAACAUAUCAUUGAAAAUAACACUUAAUAAAUCCUUUUCUCCAGUGAUCUGUUUUAAACUUUCUGUUAAUAACACGAGGCUAGCGGCUUCCCUCUUUCUUCAGUUGUUCCAAAUGCUAUUUAGAGUAUUGAUAAAGUUUAAUAUACUGCUGUGAUCUGAGGAGCAGUAAGGUGUCUAUGGUGGAAAUAUUGAAAGGCCUGGAAAAGUGUUAUUAUGAGUGAACUGGGUUUGACCUAGGGAUUAGUGUGCCAAGACUGUGAAUCUGAGGGUUCAUGUUUCUCAUCUAUCUCCACAAAAAUGUGCUCUACACUUUGGGACCAUUGGUGUGCUAUAAAAGUCCAUUACUCGACGAGAUGAACAUCCCAAGAGUUUGCAGAAAAUUUUUAAUAAUGCACCAGAGGUGAACUUCAGAAAUUGUGAAAACAGAUUAUAGAAUUGGAUUCAAUUUCAGCCUCUUCCUGGGUCUGUAGAAACGCAGCCAGUUUUAACCUAAUGUGACAGUGUUCAUAAAAAAAAUAAACUGGUAAAGUUUGGAGAACACGAAGGGGAACACCAUUUCUUCUUGGUUGUACAGAAUUCCUAGCUUACAUGACAGUUGUCUAGACUAGAGGAGGACUGAACUUUUUUGUGAGUAAAUAUUUUACCUCAAGGGUGUAAAAAAAAACAGUUCAGAUAAAUGUGUUAGUAAAUGCAUGUAAAUGGAACUAUUUGGCUAGGAAAGAGUCACUGAGGAAUAAGAAUAUGUAAAAGUUGUGAUUAUUGACUUGCUGAAUGAAGCGAAACACGUUUACAGAAAUAUUGUUGAAAGGUGAUAUUGUGGAAAUAACAAUCACAAAUAAACUUAUACCUUCGUUUUGAGGUUACUUACUGAUUAACUAUUAUUUUACUAUAUAUUACAGCUUUUACAAUAAGGAAGAUUAUUUUUUAGAACAGUUACGAAAAGGAAGGAGAACAGGAGUGUUUUGUUCACAGGUAAGGGGCGUUGAAGAAUAUGGUUUUGUGGUCGAUAUACUUUUUUGUAGGUGUUAGCAACUAUUUCCAUGUUUGUGCAGAAUGAGCAAUAGUUUGACACCGUUAGUCCAAAUCUGCACAAACGUUAAAAUUUAUGUAUGUGAGAAUGAUCGAAACGUAGUUCCUGUUCUGAAAAAUAAUCUUACCAUAAAAGUUGUAAUAGCAUAAAAUUUAUACCUUCUUUACUUUUAAAACCUGUGUACUUGAGAAUGGUCACAGUAACGAUAGAAAUGUCGUACCUGUUUUUAAAAAAAAUUCCUUACUGUAAAAGCUGUAACUUGUUAAAAAAAAACAUAAUAUAUGUUAUAACUUAACAUAGAAAUAGAAUGAUCUGUUACGUGUUUUCUUUGAUCUGUUACGUCUUUCCUCGAUUGAGGAAAGGCUUUCAAUAAGCUAUUGAAUUAAUUGGUAAGUAACAGCAUCUACUAAAAAGACUUGGUUUACAAAAAAUGAAAAUAAAAAAUGGUUUUGAAUGUAAAUUUUUCAUUAAUUCCAGAAAACAAUAUGAUUCAUUUCAAGAUGAGGUGGGGGUCAAGGCUUUAACUUUUGCUGAGGUGCCUUUUUGAUGACAAAGACUUGUUGGAAAGCCAUUGUGGGCCAAAAAAUUAUAAUGUCUAGAAACUGGAAGAGCUGUUGAGAUCUGUGUUCCCAAAAUCGAUCAUCGAAUCUUUCGUUGCCUAUUUUUUCAGAAUAACACGGUUUUAACCAUAUAUUUCCUAAUGAAGGGCAUCUGCCCAAAACGUCUCAAAAAAUACAGUUGUUAUGUAAAAACGUGUGCUACCCUAGUUCAGAAUUUCAUGUAAGAGGGGGGGGGGUAUAUAUGUGCUUAUGUCAGUGGAAAAAAUAUGCUAUGGAUAAUUCACACAUGGAAUCCAGUACUGGUCAUCUGUACAAAACUGAAUUAUAGUACACUUAAGGCAGUGGAAGAAAUAUGCUAUGGAUAAUUCACACACGGAAUCCAGUACUGGUCAUCUGUACAAAACUGAAUUAUAGUACACUUAAGGCAGUGGAAAAAAUAUG
Limulus polyphemus (Atlantic horseshoe crab) is the source of this 6630-nucleotide RNA transcript. It is a transcript of the gene named CREB-regulated transcription coactivator 1-like, with no coding region annotated. The transcript has 15 exons. NCBI's taxonomy places the organism in Eukaryota, Metazoa, Arthropoda, Merostomata, Xiphosura, Limulidae. The record is from RefSeq and is a predicted model, not a curated record.